ACGGAGGGUCCGAGCGUUAUCCGGAAUCAUUGGGUUUAAAGGGUCCGCAGGCGGUCAAUUAAGUUAGAGGUGAAAUCCCGUCGCUCAACGACGGAACUGCCUUUAAUACUGGUUGACUUGAGUUAUACGGAAGUAGAUAGAAUAAGUAGUGUAGCGGUGAAAUGCAUAGAUAUUACUUAGAAUACCGAUUGCGAAGGCAGUCUACUACGUAUAUACUGACGCUCAUGGACGAAAGCGUGGGGAGCGAACAGG
This 252-nucleotide ribosomal RNA is filed under the name uncultured bacterium. RNAcentral's name for it is "partial 16S ribosomal RNA". It matches the Rfam family "Bacterial small subunit ribosomal RNA", at positions 525 to 776 of the family's 1533-position model. The record is from RNAcentral.